GCCGUCAUAGCUCAGCUGGUAGAGCACCACCAUGGUAAGGUGGGGGUCGUGGGUUCGAGCCCCAUUGAUGGCU
This 73-nucleotide transfer RNA is filed under the name Pilibacter termitis. It matches the Rfam family "tRNA". Rfam says of the family: Transfer RNA (tRNA) molecules are approximately 80 nucleotides in length. Lineage: Bacteria; Bacillati; Bacillota; Bacilli; Lactobacillales; Enterococcaceae. The record is from Rfam by way of RNAcentral.